CAUUUGUCUUUCUUCAACUAGAGAAAACCUUUUUUUUUUCUUUUCUCUAAAAAAAAAAAAAAAACUAAUGGCUUCCCAAAAAGUAAUCACUGUCAUCACUACUUCCUCCGAUAUCUCCACCGGAGAUUCACACCCGCCGGCGAAUUGUCCGAAAGGACACUGUUUGUGCUCUCCGACGACCCAUCGAGGGUCGUUCAGGUGCAGGUACCACCGUACCUCUGGUGAGACAACAAGUACUGCAUGGUUCAAGAGAUCAAAAUCCAUGCCUGUUAAUAAGAAUAAUAAUUUGUCAUCAAUUUCUCCUAAAUCAGUUGAAUCUACUUAAUUAAUUACUAGUAAUUUGUACUUUUUCCUAUAUAUAUGUUUCAGUUUUACUGGAUAAAUGGAAAAGUACUUGUUUUUUGUUUUCUU
Solanum tuberosum (potato) is the source of this 411-nucleotide long non-coding RNA. RefSeq lists it as uncharacterized. The transcript has 2 exons. Lineage: Eukaryota; Viridiplantae; Streptophyta; Magnoliopsida; Solanales; Solanaceae. The record is from RefSeq and is a predicted model, not a curated record.